GGAAGAUACUUGUGGGCAGAAAGCAUGCCAUUUCUGUAUUCUGUACUUCCCAAGGGUCGAAUGCAAGGCACCACACCAGUGUUUGCAGGAAGGGACUGAAGUAUGAAUGGCAUGCCAAGACCCUGGACAUGACCAGUGACUCUGUAAGCUGUAGGAGAACUCAAGCUGAACAGGAUUUCCUGAAGAGAUCUGUCUGGGAAGAACUGAAGCAGAGGCAUCUGGGAACCAGUCAACUAGCCCUUGGGAAUACCAACAUCAGGUA
This is a long non-coding RNA of Ornithorhynchus anatinus (platypus), 262 nucleotides long. RefSeq lists it as uncharacterized. The transcript has 3 exons. The record is from RefSeq and is a predicted model, not a curated record. Lineage: Eukaryota; Metazoa; Chordata; Mammalia; Monotremata; Ornithorhynchidae.